CCUACGGGAGGCAGCAGUGGGGAAUAUUGGACAAUGGGCGAAAGCCUGAUCCAGCAAUGCCGCGUGAGUGAUGAAGGCCUUAGGGUUGUAAAGCUCUUUUACCAGGGAUGAUAAUGACAGUACCUGGAGAAUAAGCUCCGGCUAACUCCGUGCCAGCAGCCGCGGUAAUACGGAGGGAGCUAGCGUUGUUCGGAAUUACUGGGCGUAAAGAGUACGUAGGCGGUUAUUCAAGUCAGAGGUGAAAGCCCGGGGCUCAACCCCGGAACUGCCUUUGAAACUAGAUAGCUAGAAUCUUGGAGAGGUCAGUGGAAUUCCGAGUGUAGAGGUGAAAUUCGUAGAUAUUCGGAAGAACACCAGUGGCGAAGGCGACUGACUGGACAAGUAUUGACGCUGAGGUACGAAAGCGUGGGGAGCAAACAGGAUUAGAUACCCUGGUAGUCCACGCCGUAAACGAUGAUAACUAGUUGUUCGGGCACUUGGUGCCUGAGUGACGCAGCUAACGCAUUAAGUUAUCCGCCUGGGGGUACGGUCGCAAGNUUAAACUCAAAUGAAUUGACGG
RNAcentral lists this ribosomal RNA (559 nucleotides) under uncultured bacterium. RNAcentral's name for it is "bacterial SSU rRNA". It matches the Rfam family "Bacterial small subunit ribosomal RNA", at positions 338 to 916 of the family's 1533-position model. The record is from RNAcentral.